CCUUAGGCCGGAUAGUAGCGGCAUCCUGUUGUGCCGUGGUUCGGCACAACAGAUACAGCGGAGAGCCGGAAAAGCU
This 76-nucleotide small RNA is filed under the name Flavobacterium sp. TAB 87. RNAcentral's name for it is "Flavo-1 RNA". It matches the Rfam family "Flavo-1 RNA". Lineage: Bacteria; Pseudomonadati; Bacteroidota; Flavobacteriia; Flavobacteriales; Flavobacteriaceae. The record is from Rfam by way of RNAcentral.